GCUGCUUCCCGAUGCACCUUUUCUCCUGGGGAGUGCCCAGACGAGCGCCAUCUGCUCCUGGGUCAGAGGAGUCCCUGCAGAGUCAUCGACUUCCUCAUUUCCAAAAGCCCCAUAGGUUGCACUGGAGUCCCGAGGCGAAGCGCCGACACUUCAUCUGCCCGUCACCUCCCGAUUUUUGCAAUGUGUUUCUUCUGAACAAGAAUGUGUGCCCUGGAAGCCAACUCAAGUCCCAGACCUAGGUUUCUCGACAUUUCCCCAAGUCCCACCUGCGUCAGGUUGUAGGCUCCGGGGCCAGUCCCUUUCGAUCCGCAUCAAAAAACCUGGCGAUCCCCUUUGGGCACAAGAGCUCAGGGCGUUGGUCCCCGCGAUCGCGGAAGCCCACUUCCAGAAAAACUCGACCACUAACAACUGAAAUGAAGAAAACGGAAUGACCCAGCAUGAGUGAUACAAACGUUUUCCUUCACCCGGGCUGGGAGUGGCGGAGCUCCACAUUGAACACCAAAGAACCCUGCUUCUUACGGGGAAACAGUUUUUCUUAACCUGCUAAUUCUGAUCCGAGAAGAUUCAAGUCAACGUUUCCAAUCGGGGCUUCCUUCCUCCUGCCUGGGGCGAAUCCGAAGUUGCAUCCAAGCUUGAGAUCUCGGCCAGCGGAUCGGGGAACCGUUGGACCACGGAGCUGUCUCAAGGAUGAAAGGACGCGGCUCCCGAGUGAUGGUUGCAGAGUCCUCUCUGUUCUUGGAGACCCUUCCAGACAGGUCGGCUCUUCUCGAAGCCUUCGGGAUCCGGAAACUGCACCCUCUCCCCGCCUAGCCUCGGGUGGUUCCUCUGUCACUACGACCCUGAAGUCUCAGCGGCGCUUCCCAGGCCUGUGGCUCCGGGCUCAAGAAAGUCACACACUUGCCGCUGCAGUUCCCGUCCCAGGACAGCUAGUGGCGCUCGGGCGCGGACUGCGGUUCGCUGAGACAAAAGGACGGUGGGGACAGCCUCUCUUGAGCAUCUGCCCUCACCUCCUCCCUGGACAGAACCAAACCCCCAAAACAAUAAUAGGGAUUACGGAGCCAGCGUGUUUACGAAGUAAGGGCCAUUAUUUGCGGGGGAGAGAAAUCCUAUGAUCUGAAAAGGGAGGAGGAGGCGAGGCCCGGAUUCGACAACUCAGAGGAAGCAGGCGUGAAACAUUUGCCCCUGAGAGGUGCCCCGCUUCCAGACGGAGCCUGAUGCUCUUGCUGGCAGGUGACAACCCAGGAAGGGGCCACUGGAGCAGCUAAUUCAUGAUUUACUGUCUGUUUUUUGACAAGUUUCUACUUUCCCCCUCUUCCUACCACGACUGUUUCUGUUAGUUAAGGGUAGUAAUAUUUUCAAAAGUUAAUUGGCCUAUGUACAUUUUAAAUGCCCUCCUUAUGCCCUCCCCCUCUAUUUAGACGUAUAUGCAUACACUUAUUUAUAUAUAUAAAUUGUAAAGUCUUAUCUUGGAUAUGCACUAUUAGUAUAUGUGUUUAAUGCUUUAUAUUCAUGUCUUCGCCUUAGAAAUGAGAAUCAUAUCCUUUGACUAGACAAAUUUGCCAUUUAUUUUCUAACUUUACAUUUCAACUCUUUGAAUAUGAAAAAUUAAAAUUAGUUUAACAUCA
This 1625-nucleotide long non-coding RNA is filed under the name Homo sapiens (human). RNAcentral describes it as "HSALNT0103136". The record is from RNAcentral. Lineage: Eukaryota; Metazoa; Chordata; Mammalia; Primates; Hominidae.